UACCGCGGUUAGACGUUUAGGCCCAGGUUGAUAGAUUUCGGCGUAAAGAGUGGUUAAGUGUAUGGUGGGCUAAGGUCGAACGUCCCCCUGGCUGUGAUACGCAUUUUUGGAGGAGUGAAGCUCGUAUGCGAAGGUAGCCUUAUGUGCCUUGAAUCCACGAAAGCUGGGGAA
RNAcentral lists this ribosomal RNA (171 nucleotides) under Argyropelecus hemigymnus (half-naked hatchetfish). Its description in RNAcentral is "partial 12S rRNA". Lineage: Eukaryota; Metazoa; Chordata; Actinopteri; Stomiiformes; Sternoptychidae. The record is from RNAcentral.